This 35494-nucleotide long non-coding RNA is filed under the name Ananas comosus (pineapple). Its description in RNAcentral is "long non-coding RNA (ACOM_LNC030185)". The record is from RNAcentral. Lineage: Eukaryota; Viridiplantae; Streptophyta; Magnoliopsida; Poales; Bromeliaceae.
GAAGCUCUAUCAUCGAAGCAAAUGGUAGUAAAACGGCUCGUUUACUACUGAUAGUAUUCUAGCAAAACUUUAUAUAUAUAUAUAUAUAGUGUAGACUACUAUACUAUCGAAAAUAUAAAGGAUUUGAUGUUUUCGAAUUUUUGACCAUUUGAUUAAGAAUUGUAUGGUUGGGAUGAUUGCGGUCCCUCUAGGAUUAAAUAAUAUCUCUAGGAUUGAGUGGUUCCUACACAGAAAUAAUAGUAUUAAAUUUAAAGAAAUGAUUUAAAGGGUUGAUCUAAGAAUCAAAAAUCGAAAGCACCAUAUCCUCUAUACUUUCGAUAGCAUAAUAGCACCAUAUAUAUAUUAUAUAUUAUAUAUAUAUAAUAUAUAUAUAUAGUAUAUAUAUAUAGAGUAGGGCUACUAUCUCUUAUGAGUAGUGGACCCUUACUACUCAUAAGUUAUUUCGAUGAUAGAGCUUCCGAAUCGACGAUCCACUCCGUUAAAUAUGAUCUAGAGUAUUUGAAACUUCUAGAAAUAAAUUUCGUAAUUUUUCGAAAUCAUAAUAAAGUCCAUCAAGCGGGCAUAAAAUGAACGGUCAAAAUCGAACGACGUCCUAAAAUGGAUGAUGGAUCCCUCAAUUUAAGAUCGGAGUUAUUGAUCUUAUCAUAGGUAGUGUAUAGAAUUUCUAUCAAAAAUUCAACCUAUUCCGAUUCUUUUCCACGUUAAACUAGCAGUAUCCAUACCGGCCGUUAAAAUUGUCAAUUUUGUGAGCUUUUGAUCAUAAGGUAAAUGAUGUCGAUAAAAUUAUGAAAUUUAAUUUCUAGAAGUUUAAAAUGCUCUAGAUCAAUUUAACGAGUGGAUCGUCGAUUCGGAAGCUCCAUCAUCGAAAACAACUUAUGAGUAGUAAGGGUCCACUACUCAUAAGAGUAUAGUAGCCCUACUCUAUAUAUAUAUAUAUAUAUUUGAGCUUUUCGAGCUUUUCAAGUCUAAUUCGAACGAGCCGAGUAAUACUCAAGUUUGGCUUGAAAUGAAUUUCGAGUUUUUUUUUUUUUGUUCAAGCUUGGCUCAUUUAAUUUCGAGUCGAGCUCGAGCGAGCCAAAUAUCCAGUCGAACGCGAGCCGGCUCGCUCAUUUGCCCGCCCUAGUCGCAAGUCGCACCGGUUGAAUCUGCUAGUUCAACCCGUUCGGUAAUUAUAAAAGUUUAAGGACCAUACAAAGCUUAGAUGAAACUUUAGGGACAAGCAGUUCAGUUUAUCCAAAAAGAAAAUAGUUUAGGGGGCUAUUUUGAGCCUUACGGCACGUUUGGUUCAAAAUAGGAAUUGAAAUGAGAAUCGAAAUCGGAAUAGACCGGAAUCGGAAAUGGGAUUGUAAAAUCCUCUAAUAUGUUUGGUUUAGAAUAGCAAUGGGAUUGGGAAUAGUUGGUUCCUGUUUUUAUUGUUUGGUCGAGAUAUAAAAAAAAUUUUAGUUAUCAAAAAUAAUAAUUAAAAUAAAAUUUAAAUUUAAAUAUAAAAAUAAUUUAAAAUUUUGCAGCUCAAAACAUAAAAUUAUAUAAUUUAAAUUCAAACUGAAAAUUAAAUAUUAAAAAUUUACAUCAAAAUUUUGAAAGGAUGUCAAAAUUUUAAAUAUAUUCUUUUAAAAAAAUUAAAUUUGAAAUUGAGUGGAUAAUUCAAAAAUAUAAAACUAAAAUUUGAUUUAUUUAAAUUCAAACUUAAAAUUACAUUUAAAUUUCAAUUUGAAUCCAUAAAAUUUAAUUUAAAUUUAAUUUAAAAUUUAAAUAAAAUUUUAAAUUUUAAAUUAAAUUUAAAUUUAAAUUUAAAAUUUUUAAAUUAGAUUCAAAAUAUUUUAUUGAAUUUUAAUUUUUAAUUUAAGUUCAAAUUAAAAAUUUAAUUUAAAUUUAUAUUUUAAUUAAAAAAUAAUGUUAAAAGAAUUAAAUUUAAUCUGGGCAAACAUCUAUUCCGUUCAAAUUCAAUUUCUAAACUGACCUCCUUUAAGUCGAAAUGGAAAAAAAAGUUGAUUGGGGAAUUCACAUUCCACCCGGAAUUCGGAAUUGGAAUGAUACUCCUGCAUAGCAAAUAUUGGAAAUAGAAUCGUACAUUCUGAUUCUGAUUUUUGGGUGAAAAUUGAGCGAACCAAAUACGCACUAAGUUGCUUUAUAGUUGAGGGAAGGGGGAGUUAGUUAAGUUACAAUUUACCCAAAACAGAGUAGUUGGGGGGCAUAUUUCAUCAGAAGUAUAGUUAAGGGGUCAAAAUGAAAAGGGUUAAAUGCAUUUAUGUCUCUACAAAUAUAGUAAACUAUAAAUAUGUCCUAUAAAUAUGUCCUUAUAAAAUUUAACUUCGUAUUGUGUUUUUGCAAAAGUUCUAAUAUUUUUAAAUUUGUUCAUCUGGUUUGUUACAGUUAUAAAAUUAUUUAUAUCUUAAGCGAAAUGUCAAUUUUACCAUCACAAAUAUGUCCCUACAAAAGCCACAACAAUAUAAUAUAAGAGGGGCAAAAAUAUCAAGUUAUCUUAUAAAUUAACUAAAAUUAAGCAUUUAAUCUAUGAUUAAUUAAAGUUUUUUAACGGAUUCUAACGGUAGAGACAUAUUUGAAAGGGGCAAUGUCACGCUCCGGUUGUCUCGUUCCCCGGGCACGCCGACAAAUCCGCCGUAUACAAAGAAAUUUUCUCUGUAUACGAAGCGACAGCUGUACCUGUAAAUCAAACACUACUACGAACAGUAGUAGAGAGCUGCUAGAGAAAACUGAAGCUAAACAAACUGAGUUUCAUAUAUAUAGUCCAAAACCAAAAUACAGAGCUACUCGCAUUGGCGAGUUAAGUCAACUAUAUACAUAAACUCGAAACAAAAUAUCUACCUGCAGUAGGGGCACCUCUAGCUCAGCACGUCGGGUAGGGCUCUAACUCGCGACGCCCUUGCCUUGAUCCUGGUCCGCGGAUGGUGCAGCAGCCGGAACAUGUGGCUCUCCAAAAACAUAGGUAACAACUGGGCGUGAGAACUACUGUAAAAACAAGUAGUUCUCAGUGGGUACCGCCCAAAACAACAUCGGUCAUCCACUAAGUUUACAGAAGGGAGUAAGGAUAGUAGGAAAAACAGGAAGUACACUCUGCCGCUAUCAAUCACUACACUAUCAUGCUCUACGCUAACCAACUGUAGGAAAUGUCAAAUCUGACCCAAUCCAAUCGGGAAUGUAAGCAUACCCGUCCCCCGUGACUGUGAAUACACCCGUCCCUGCCCCGUUGCAACUAUCAGGCUCUAUCCACACUAACUGGUCCGUGGAGAGCAAGUCCAACUUGCAUGAGCGACACCAACGCGAAAGCACAAAACCUGACUCCGGAGUGGCACUUGUGGGCGCUACCCAACCGAGUAUGCAGCGUAUUUCUGUCGAGCUCAAACAGGCUGUGAAAAGCCAAAGUUAAGAAAUCGACUCAAACUGGUCUAACAACCAACAAGUAACGUGCCCUCGGCACAAUCAGACGCCAAAAAAGCGAUACGGGUCCACCGUCAACCUCAACGGCACCCUACAGUCCGGAACAGUCUGAACGACCCUGUAAAAUCCCCUCGGCGAAACAGCACGAGUGUAGAUAUACUCUAAACUACCCGGAGUACUCGUCUCGAAGAUACCGCGACAGUACAAUUUACUAACGGCUCCUGGAGCUAAAUCAGGCAGUUUAAUCAAGUGACGGGUCCAAAUCGCAGAUUUUUUUCCAAUUCAAUUUCCAAGUCCAACAUGUAUAACCUGUUCAAUUUAUUAUCACAUGCUCCAAAUUUAGAUAUGCAAUCUACCAUUAAAUCUAUGAAUUCGAGCUAGAAUAAAGUAUCCAAAGGUCGAUAAUUAUACAUGCCGACGAAUAUGAACUUAGGAGUAGAAACCGAUGUAACCCACCUCAAACGCUAAUCUCUGGCAGCGAAGGACUCCCACUGGCGUAGAGCAACCUGCUGGAUUACCCGGAACCCGCCGAGUACAGAAAUCGCCUAAGCUCAAGCUCUAAGUAACAAAACUCACCAAUUCAGUCCAGAAAUUGCAGCAGUGAGGUACAACAGGGAUUCAACCAAGCUAACCUUCACCAAAAUUCACAAGUAAGGGCUUCAUGGAUUCCUCUCGCAGUCCCGAAUCCAACGAACCAAGCCUCGUCGAAAUCCGAUGCUCCUAUGCGAAGUACGAGCUGAAACGCCAACUGUCGACGGCGAAAAAAAACAGCAAAACAGCAAUUAAGCUUAAUUUUGAUGAUACCCGAAGUAUUCGAAGCCAUUCCAACAGAACACUCACCUCAACAGCGACUAGCACCGGCGCGACGUCACGAACAGCGAAGUCGCACGCUCGCCCGGUCUCCUCGCAAUGCCCCGGCGUCAAAUACGUGCUCGAACGAUCCCGCAGCGCGACGUAGGUGACGAAACUCCAACUAAGUUCCUUCCUUGCCUUCAACCGGAUGGGAGAGUGAGAGGGAAAGGAGAAGCACAAGUAAACUCUCUCUCUCUCAGCUCACAGCAGCCUUUGUAGAGAGAAAGUUGGUAGGAGAUACAAACGAGGUGGAAAAAUUACCUAAUUACCCUGUCACCUACCCCCUUGUACCGGUACACGGGCUCCUGUACCGGUACAAGAGCCAACCCGAGAGCAGUUGAGCCAUUGCGUGCUGGUUGUACCGGUACAGCUACUCUGCUUGUAUCGGUACAGUAAGCAGAGAAUGCUGCUGUUUUGCAGAAUUCUUCGCGAUAAGCUGCCCUCGCGUCGCACGGAGUCCGUUUUACGUCUAUUUGACGCCAACGCGACUCGGACUUGUUCCGACACUCUCCAGAGCUAUCGACAAGCCUCCACAGUCAAACACCAGGGAUCUCACAGGCAAUUUCUUAUAUACCCUUGAAAAGUUUCCGACUUUUCGAUUUAUCCCUCUUAGAAGGCUAAUAUUGAAAAUACCCCUCCUACGUUCCAACCUAUUUCUAAUAUACCCUUAGAGUUAAAAUCUGUUAAGUAACACUGUUAUCUCUGUAAAAUUACUAUUUUGCCCUUUUCAAAUAUACCAUUCUACCAUCAUUGUCUUUCUUAUUUGCCCUUAAAGUCAGGGGCACAAAAAGUAUUUCAACUUUUUUUCUUUUCCAAUAUACUCCUCUACCGUAACCAACCUUUCUUAUUUGCCCUUAAGUUAAGGGCAAAAUUGGCAUUUUAAUUUUUUUUAACUGUGAUAGAUAUUUAACUCACGUUUAACUAAGGUUAACUUAACAUGAGAUAACUACAGGGGUAUUUUGCAAUAACCGUAGAACAGGGCAUUUUAGAAAGUAAAAAAAAGUAGGGUUAUAUCGGAUAUUUUCAGACACAUGAGGAGUAUAUAGGCAAUUAUCCCUAUUUGAAAAUAUUAGAAAUUUUACAGAGACAAGAUAUAAAAGUUAAGCUUUAUAAAAAUACACCUAUAAUUUUCUAUAUUUAUAGAGAGGUGUAAGAAAUUAACCCAAAUGAAAAUUGCACUGCUCUAACUAAUACUCUCUCUGGAAGCAUCUGUACGCUUCCAAAUUUCCGUUUCCUCUCUCACUCUCUCUCCUCUCCCCGAGAACUCUCUAGAACCCCACCACCUCUCCACACUAUAUAAACCCCCUCUCCUCUCCCUCCCCUCGCCAUUGGAAUCGCCACAACCCACAUUGCCUUUCUCUCUCUCUCUCUCUGCGCUCUCAAAGCUUCUACGCGUUCUUCGUCUUCUUCGUGUUCGAGGAGCCAUGGACGAGGACUUCGAGUUCCCUGCGGCCGGGGAGGAGAUGAACGAGGACGCCAUGGACUUCGGCGACGAGGUGAGCCCGGUCAUGAAGGUCGGGGAGGAGAAGGAGAUCGGGAAGCAGGGGUUGAAGAAGAAGAUCGUCAAGGAGGGAACGGGGUGGGACACCCCCGACGUCGGCGACGAAGUCGAAGGUACGCGUCGUUGUUUCGAUCCGUUUCGUAGCUUCUGAUCUAGGGUUUGGAUGGAAUUGUGUGAUCUACAGUGUGUAGGAAUUUGGGAUUUGUGUGUAAUUUGUAGCGUCUUGUAUUGAUGAGAUUGUGUCGAGCGCUUCGGUAGAUGAUGCGAAUAAUACUGGAGAAUCAAAACUCAGACUAGCUCUGUUAUUACGUUAUUAGAAGAUCGAUCUCAUAGUGGGGAUUACUGAAUCAGGUUAGCUGUGUAAAUGAUGAGAAUAGUGAGGAUAUUCAUCGCGUAUUUUGCAAAUGGAGUAGAUUUGAAAUCAUGUUACUGAUAUGAUUGAUUCGGUAGGAGGAGAUCAGAAAUAGUCUCAAUAUCUUUCAGAGAAUUUGGAGAUGUGGGCGUGUCUUAUUGUGAUCAAUAAGUGCGGUUUUGGCUUAAUUUUGAGUGUUGAUUGCUUUUGCAGUGCAUUACACUGGGACGCUGCUUGAUGGGACCAAGUUCGACUCGUGGAUCGCCCUUCAAGUUUAAGCUUGGCCAAGGUGAGCUUUGAUAGUGCGCAACUAUUGAUCUGGAUCAAAAUCCGUAAUGUAACUUAUGAUACAUUCAUAAAUCAAGCUGUUUCAAUUUGUUCACCAUCAAUAAACAACACAUUUAUAGUGAUUUGUCUUUGGUGCCAUGGUUUUUAAUUCAUUGAAUCGAGCAAACUGUGACUUGCUGGCAGUGGACUGCAUCCUAUUAACUUCUUUUUUCUUUUUCUUUGUUUUGAAUCUGUUUAUCUAACCUGAUUUGUUUAUCCAAUGGGGGCAUGUUAAACAAGUUCGAUAUGCAUUAGUUGAGCUCAACGAGUUCGAACUGAGAUGUGUAUCUGUAUGAUUAUGAUGUGAAAACUAUUUUUUUGGUAUUAUGGGUUUAUGCUCUAUUUGGUGCAUAGUUUAACCAUGUAUAGGAGAAUUGAUUUUGUGUAUUGUGAAAACAUAUUAAAGAGAUUACUGUUAUGCCAAAAAAGGCUAUUUAUUUCACUAUUUUUUAAUAUAGACAUUUAUAUGUUUGAACCUACUUUUGAGUCCAUGAAAAGAUUCAAGAUCGAUACGCAAACUUGCAUUCAUGUCUCAUAAAACUCCGCACGAUGCUUGCUCCAAACUUGUUUUUUCUAAUGGAUUCUUUCUAGUUGCCUCAAGUAAUGCGUUGAUGUGCAUAUGAUGCCAGGUACAAAUCAAGUAUAUACAAUAAUAAGAUAUACUUGUGUAUUAUUUUCUUUUUUUCUUCUUUUUUUUAUACAUUUUGUUUGGAUUAAGGUAUUAAUCUAGGUUGUACAGGGAAAUCCGGUGUUACUCAGCGCAAGCUAAUUGAGAUCUUCUUACAUCUUAUUUCUGGUUGUAUUAGCAUUGCAUUCAACUAAAUGUUCCUUUCUAUUUUCAGGCCAAGUAAUUAAGGGUUGGGACCAAGGUAUUAAGACUAUGAAGAAAGGCGAAAACGCCAUCUUCACCAUCCCUCCGGAGUUAGCUUAUGGGGAGUCCGGCUCUCCUCCUACAAUUCCUCCCAACGCCACACUGCAGUUCGAUGUUGAGUUACUCUCCUGGGUAAGUGUGAAAGAUAUAUGCAAAGAUGGUGGCAUCAUUAAGAAGAUUUUGACUGAAGGAGAGAAGUGGGAGAAUCCUAAAGACCUAGAUGAAGUUCUUGGUAUUACAUCCUUUCUUUCUUUUUUUUUUUUUAACUUUACUUCUCAUUGAUCAUAGAAGUACCCAUUAUAACCUUUCCUUUUUCUUCUAUGCAGUUAAAUAUGAGGCCCGACUUGAGGACGGAGCUGUUAUAUCGAAAUCUGAUGGGGUGGAGUUCACCGUAAAAGAUGGUAGGUAUCCUUCGUCUAUCGCCUAAUUUUGGAUUUAAAAGAUUUAGCCUACUAAUGUGGUGUCUAUUCUGCUUAGGUUUCUUCUGUCCCGCAUUAUCGAAGGCUGUGAAAACAAUGAAGAAGGGCGAAAAGGUUCUCCUCACCGUGAAACCACAAUGUGAGUUUGUCGUAAUUGGCCCGAAUUGAUUUGCGUACAUGCAGUUGAAAUGGAAAUGGCUGAGCUGAUUCCCUUUCUUUUGGUCAACAGACGCCUUCGGUGAGAAUGGUAGGCCAGCUUCUGGUGACGAGGGCGCAGUUCCUCCCAAUGCCACCCUCAAUAUUGAGCUUGAAUUGGUCUCCUGGAAGUCCGUUACACAGAUCGGUGAUGAUAAGAAAGUUCUUAAGAAGAUUCUUAAAGAAGGAGAAGGCUAUGAGCAUCCGAAUGAUGGCGCAGUUGUUCAGGGUAGAUAGCUAUCUUUUUAUUUUUCUUAAACUUUUAUACAUUUUCAUAUUUUAGCUUCUUCUGAAGUUGUUGAUAAUACUAUUUUAUGCAGUUAAACUCAUUGGAAAGCUCGAGGAUGGAACAGUCUUUGUUAAGAAGGGCCAUGACGGGGAGGAGCCAUGCGAGUUUAAGACAGACGAAGGUAACAAUUUUAUAAAAUUAAGAAGAUUUGCUUUUUCUUGGCUUUCUCUGCAAUGUGGUUCUUAUUGAAGGGCUUUUCUGUGGUGAACAGAGCAAGUUGUUGAAGGAUUGGACCAAGCUGUGGUCACGAUGAAGAAAGGAGAAGUUGCCUUGGUGACAAUUCCACCGGAGCAUGCAUUCGGAUCAGCUGAAUCGCAGCAAGAACUCGCAGUGGUACCGCCAAAUUCUACCGUCUAUUACGAGGUGGAGCUUGUAUCCUUUGAGAAGGUCAGUAUAAGUUAUUCAAUUCGAUCCAUCUGUUGUUGUUUUUAGCCCUGGCUUUUAUGGAUAACUCAAAUAUUUCCUAACUUUAGGAGAAGGAAUCCUGGGAUAUGAAUAACGCUGAGAAGAUUGAAGCGGCUGGGAAAAAGAAAGAAGAAGGAAAUGCAUUGUUCAAAGCGGGUAAAUACGCCAAGGCCUCCAAGAGAUACGAGAAGGUAAAUAAGACCUUAAUAUCUUGUAUAAUACAUCUGUGAAUUUGUAAAAUAUCGUGAUGGGAAUCUGAUUUUGAAAUUGCCUGUUUUUUCACGAGUAGGCUGCGAAAUAUGUCGAGUAUGAUAGUUCCUUCAGUGAAGAAGAGAAGAAGCAAUCCAAGGUAUUAAAGGUCACCUGCAAUCUCAACAAUGCCGCUUGCAAACUGAAGCUCAAACAGUACAAAGAAGCAGAGAAACUUUGUACCAAGGUAUUGUGCCGAAUUUAUAUUUAACUUAAUUUUUUCUCGAAGGACAGGGAGAUGAAUAACUAUGUGAAACAUUUAAAUUUUCCAGGUAUUGGAAAUCGAGAGUACGAAUGUGAAGGCACUAUACAGAAGGGCGCAAGCGUACAUACAACUUGCCGACCUGGAUUUGGCGGAGAUGGACAUCAAAAGGGCUCUAGAAAUUGAUCCGGAUAACAAGUAUGCCUUCGAUCCGUCGUAAAGUUAUAUAUGUCUUGUGCUUUAAGAUUUGUUGGUUUUUAACUAGACUGUCGUGCUUUUUGUUGAUCAGGGAUGUGAAGAUAGAAUACAAGAUUCUGAAGGAGAAGGUCAAGGAGUACAACAAGAGAGAUGCCAAGUUCUAUGGCAACAUCUUUGCUAAAUGGGGCAAAUUAGAGCACAUGGAAGCCAAUGUAAGGCUCAUUUUUUUUUUUUUCUGUUUUCUUUUUUUUCAUCUCUCUCUCUCUCUCUAAUCAGCAUGAAUAUCUUUUAAUGUGUCGCAGAAGAACAGCGGGAAGCAGGUCGCAGAGCCUAUGGUCAUAGACAGCACAGCGUAAGCGUGUCGUAAGCACCAGUAAAUUUGAUGUUGCUAGUACCGUAUUCUGUUAUAGAGUGCUUAUAGAGUGCAUAUCUGACUAUAGCUUAUAUACCUGCAAUACAACUGAGCACCCCCCACAAAAAAAAAAAAAAAAAAAAAAAAAAAAAAAAAAAAAAAAAAAAAUGCUGUUUGUAGUAACUAGUGCUUGAUAUUAUUAGGGACUAUUUCUCCUCUACUGCAGUAAAAAUUUGCCAUAACCCUGUUUGAUAUUAUUGUAUGUUCAAUUUUAUUCCGAUGUGCCGACGAACUGCAUAAAUCGAUAACUAGAAUCAUGCUCUUUAGCUGAAGAAAGUGAAAUAAGUCGUUUAGAUACGAAAAGAAGUUAUUACUACUAAGUCUAUUCAAAUAGGUGUUUUGCACUCCAGGUUUGUAUAGAGCUUAUCUGAGUUGUCGCCUAUUUGAUUUUCAUACUCUUUCAUUUGAAAACUUAAAACAAAAUUUAAAGUUCCGCCCAUAAAAAUUAAAAUAUUUGAAGCUUGGUUUGUUCGGUCAAAUAGAUGAUAUUUGCAGAUUUAUUUGUUUUCUUUUUUUUUGUAGUCCUUGAAUGCUUUGGGUUUAGUAGAGAUAGAAGAGUUGUAGAUAGAUUUAUAAGAGUAGAAAAGUUAAAAUGUAUGUGAAUAAUAAUAGCUUUCGAAGUUUUCUGACUCAAACUCAGAAGUUGUUUAGAAGUUCUAAUAUGAGGCCCAUAAGUUUCGACACUCUUCUACAAAAUUGAAAUAAAGGGUGGGACUACAAUUUAACAAUGUGAUACCAUCAAUAUAUAGUGCAGUUUUUACAUGUGAAGUUACAAAAGUUUAGCACUAAUUAGUGUAGUUUGUAUAAUAUGCUGUGUAAUUAAAGUAGCUCUUGCAUUAUUGCAUGUGAAGUUCGACAAAUUUAGCACUAAUUAACUUGUAAGUAAAUUCCGUAAUGAAUCAUAAUAUCAUAAAUCAAUCAAAUGGUGGAAAAACAAAGUUUAUUUUUGGAGAUUUGGAAGGGACAUAAUUCGAAAUUAUACUAUGACAGACCAAAUGCAUUCCCGCAAGCAAAUCAAUGUGACAGGAAAAGAAUACGGUAGUGAUCUCUUGAUCGCACAACAAUCUUGUCAAAAGCGUUUGUUCAUGAAUAAUUAGUGCAAUAUCUUACAAAAUAAUGCAACUUUCUACUAAGGGUCCGUUUAGUUUGCGUUACGUAACAUUACAAAUUAUUUCGGCACAUUUAAAUAUCUUAAUUUUUUUUAAUAAGAUUAUUAUUAAUACUGUAUUAGCGCGUUUGGUUGAAUACAGUAAUAUCAUACUGGAUUGCAGUGUAUAUAACAUUGUUAUAUAAAGUGUAAUCUAUUUUAAAAUUAUCCUUAGUUAUAUUUGCAAAUUUUUUUAUUGCUUACGAAUAAUAAUUUUUUAUUAAAAUUUAUUUUAAAUAAUUUAAAUUUUGAAUUUAAAUUUUAUUUUUUAAUAUUUUAAUAUUUUAAUUUAAAAUGUAAAUAUUUUUUAAUAUAAAUAUAAAUAUAAACAUAAAAUUUAAUAUUUUAAUUUAAAAUUUAAAAUUUAAAUUUUGUAUAUUGAAAAUUAAAAUUUUAAAAUUGACAAUUUAAAAUUUUAAAUUAAAAUGUUAAAAAUAACAUAUUGAAAUGGUUUGGGGGUUCGAAAGGAUAAACUUGUAAUUUUAUAUAAAUGCAAGAUAACCUGACAUCAGUAAUAUGACAUACUCAUCCUGCGAACCCAUUUAGGGUGAGAUUAGCUAACCCCACCCUCCAAAUUGGGUGUUUGGAAAUAACUUCGUGGUUAAGGGGUUAUUCUCUCUUUUAAUUCCGAACCAAACGGUGGCUAAGUUAUUUAAAGUUUUUAUAUAAAAAGUUCAAAAUUUGAAGAGCCAAGUUCAAAGCCAAUGAUAGUUGAGGGGGCUUUCGUACAUUUUUGCUCUUUUUUUAAUUUUAAAAUCCCACUCGACCUACCCAGUGAAAAGAAACAAGCACCACUUUUCUUGGGAAUCGAAGAGAUAUUGAAAAUAAAAUCCAAUACAUUGUAUAUGGAUGUUAUAAAUGUGUAGGAAUACAAUAACGUUGCAUGAUAAGAUAAAAGUUUAGAAGCUCUUUUUUUUUUUCUUUUUUUUUUUUAAUAUCCUUUUUCAUCGAAAUGCACGAGCGAGUUUAACAAUCAACUACUUUAGUAAAAAAAUAAAAAUUAACUUUUAAAGUAGGAGGGUACGUGGUUUUUUUCUUUUAUCGGUAUCGGACGGUCGUGUUUUUGAUGAUAUUUAAAAAAUUUAAUAAAAAUUUAGUUAUAAUAGUCGAUUAAAAUGAAUUGAUUCUUUAUGUACAAAAUGGACCAAUUGAAACAAAAAAGAGGACGUAAUAUGAAGAGUAUCGAAUAAUUCAUGCAAUCAAUUUAAGACUAUAUUAUCUGCUUUGAUAAGCAAUAUUAUAUUACGCAUAUCACAAUAAGUCGAUUAAAAUAUAAAUUUUAUAGUCUUAUUGGAAACGAAUAAGGCAUGUCUUUAUACAUCUUCACCCAAACUCCUUUUUUCCAACAGUAUUAGACAUGUAUAGACUCCUUUAAAUCAAACAGAUCGUAUAUGUCGGAUCAUUGAUGCUAACCAUUAAUCCCAAUAGUCCGAGCUAUUAGAAGUACACAAUUAAUUCACUUAAAGUGUACAGAUACUGCACCUAUGGGUUACAAUCGUGAUUCGAUCCAACCAAUCUCACGCUAUUUUGAACAUGACUCGACCCAAUCUGGACUCUCGCUAUUUCGAACAUUACUGGGUCUAAUCUGACCUCCAUGUGAUAGAAUAGGAUAUUAUCCUAUUUAAGCCAAUAAUAUAGUAUUAUAUAAAUUUGUCGAUAUAUUGUAAAAUUAUACUGAAGUUUUUUUUGUCACAAAAAAAAACCAAAGCACUUCCCAAUCAUUAAAACCCCUGACCUUAAUGAUAUCUUUCUGCUACAAUCCUCAGAGGACAGGUGCUCCAUACUUUUUUUUUUUUCUGUCAGAGCCUGUUCUGAGUUUCAGAUUUCAGAACGAAUGGGGUUAGCAGGAAAACCCAUCUCCUUGAUUAUUAACAAGACCCAGCAAAUGGGAAAAUGACAGCAGGCUGUGGCUCUUUUCAUCUCCUCAGACCACUACUUUAUCUCUCUCCAUCUCCUGCAGAAGAGAAAUACCAGAAGCAACAGCAUGAACACAUCUAUCUAUUUCUAUUUUUUCUAUUACAUUAAAGGAGGGUUGGGGGAACCUUAGGUUGACACCUGUCCCCCACCCCUCCACUUCAUUCUCUCUCUCCACACACACACACACACACACACAUAUAUAUAUAUAUAUAUAUAAUUAAUUUUAUUAAUAAAUUGUCUAACAGCUUAUUAGUAAUUAAAUUUUGAUAUGAAAAUUUAAAGUUUUGAUACUUUCAAAUUUUAAAAUUUUAAAAUUUUAAAUUUUAAAUUCUAAAUUUUAAUUUUAACUUAUAAUAUUCAUAAUUUUAAUUUUAAAUUCUAAAUUAUAAUAAUUAAUUAAAUUAUAAUAUUAUUAAUUAAUUUUAUUAAUAAUACGCAUAAUAAAUCACGUAAUAAAAUCUAACCUGAUAGAUAUAAUUUAAAUCACGUAAAAUAUCGUUGUAUAAAAAAAAUAUAGUAUUUAAAUUUUAGGAGUAAAAUUUUAGAAAUAUAGUGUAUUUCUGUGUAUAUAUAAUUAAUUUUAUUAAACAAUUUCAUUUACAAUUUUAUUUUCCUUCUAUUUAUUGAUUUUUUUAAAUUAUUUUGAUAGAUUUAUCUCAAAUCCUUUUCAUAUGUAUCUUUAUAAAAUAAAUUAUUAUAUAAAUUUACUUUGCGCAUAUAUCAAUUUUAAUGACUUUUAUUUAAAUAGAUUUAACUACUAAAUUAUUUUUAUAUAAUUUUUGUUUAAUUAAUAAUUAAACUUAUAAAACUAUAUAAAAAUAUUAAAAAAAAUAAAAUUUAUUAUAAAAAUAAUUUUAUAUCCGCAACAUCGCGCGGGUAAUUCACUAGUCACACACUCAUGGGUGGUUGUUACAUUUCAAUGAUUGGAGGAGGCCAUGUUUGUAGUGGGGAGGAGUUAGAGAUGUCAACGGGUCGGAUUCGGGGCGGAGUUUUAAAAACCCGAAUCCGAACCCGAACCCGACUCCAAACCGGAGACCCGAACCCGAAUCCGAAUCCGACGGAUUUUAAAAAUUCAUAUCCAAACCCGAACCCGACCAAAAAUUCGAAACCCGAACCCGAAUCCGAACCCGAAAAUUUUAAACCCGAAAUAAUUAUUUUUUUUUCAAUAUUUCAAAUAUAUUAUAUUAAAUCUAAAAUUUUAAAAUACAAAUUCAAAUAUAUAUAUAUAUUAAAAUAAAUUCGGGUUUGGGUCGGGUUCGGGUCGGGUUCGGGUUCGGGUCGGGUACGAUCAAAAUCCAUAUCCAAAUCCAUAUCCGUCGGGUUUUUAUUUUUGAUAUCCAUAUCCGAAUCCAUAUCCAUAUCCAUCGGAUAUAUCCGUUUCAUUCGGGUUCGGAUUCGGAGAAAAUUUCAGAUAUCCAUACCCAUUGACAUCCCUAGGAGGAGUGGUUUCAUUUGAGCAUUUAUUGAUAAGUGAAUGCAUGCACCUCAAAAGAAGCAUCAUGUGUUUUAAUUAAGGGAUAAUUACCUAUGUACCUUUCAAAACAUCAAAAAUAUCUCAUUUAUCCUUCUUUUUUUUUCUUUCCAAUAUACCCAUCAUAUGUUCCUCCAUUAUUUCAAAAUAUCCCUACAGUUACUAUCCAUUAAGUUAACUUGAAUUAAAUAUGAGUUAAAUAUCUAUCAGAAUUAAAAAAUUAAAAUGCCUCUUUUGCCCUUAAUUUUAAGGGCAAAUAAGAAAUGUUGGUGAUGUUAGAAGGGUAUAUUCGAAAAAGCUAAAAAUCAAUAUGCUUUUGUGUCCCUAACUUAAAAACAAAUAAGAAAAGUCGGUAAUGCUGGAAGGGUAUAUUUGAAAGGGCAAAAUAAUAAUUUCAUACAGAUAACAGCUAUUACAAACAGUUCAUUAACAAAAUUUAACUCUAAAGGUAUAUUUGAAAUGGGUUGGAACAUAAAAAAGUUAUUUUCAAUAUUAGUCUUGUAAGAGGGAUAAAUAAGUCGAAAAUUUUUCAGGAAUAUAUAAGUAAUUGCCCCUUUAAUUAAAUAACAUUGUGCACAAUCAGAAGAGUAAUUGGGAGUUGCCUAUGAAAAGUUUCUGACCAGUCUAAAGAUAUAAUACAUUUGAUGAAACUCAUCUAACCCAAAAAUUAACUCAGUCCUGUCCUGCUAGAGUUGGAUCUGUUUUAGUAUAUAUUAACCUCUUAGAAUUGUGCUCAACUCUUUUAUGUGUACUAAACUAUAAUUGCAAUACUAUGAGCCACUGACUCGAUCGCACCACACCAUUUAAACGAAUUAUCUGAGAUCGUCAAUCGUUAUCUCUAAUAUCACUUGUGAGAGAAUUUUGUCCCAAAUCAUUUGAGAUUGUUAGAAGAGUGCUACCAUAUUGCCAGAGAGCUUGAUAUAUAGGAAAGUAUAUUCAUUUAUUUCAGUAAAUAAUCACAUAUGUAGGGAUCACAUUCAAAUGCACCUAUAAGAGAGAGAGAGAGAGAGAGAGAGAGAGAGAGAGAGACCUGGUCAUAGUCUCAUAGAAGGAACCAUGCAACACACACACACACCAAAAAAAGAGAGAGAAAAAAAAAAAAAAAAAAAGGAAAAGAAAUUGGAUUUUAACUGGGUGUUGUUGCACCUAUAACAAAAGGUAAACUUCGAAUACCCCUGUGAUUUCACACUUUCUCACUUUCGUAUUCUGUAGUUUAAACUGUAUUAAAUUAGUCUCUAUGGUUUCGCACUUUCUCACUUUAGUACCCUAUAGUUUAAAAUGUAUCAAAUUAGUACCAUAUAGUUUUAUUUUUCUCUUUUUAUUAUCCAUAUUAUUAAUUUUUUUCGUUAAAUCAAUGACAAAAUUAAAAUUAAAGAAUACUAAAGUGAAUAUUCGACAAACCUAAGUAGGGUAUCUGAAGAAUUUUUGUAUAUAAUUUAACGAAAGAUUAACGGAGGAAAAAAAUUAGUGACAAAAUUAAAACUAAAGGGUACGAAAGUAAAUAUUCGAUAAACCUAAAUAGUAUAUCUGAAGUUUUUUUGUAUAUAAUUUAACGAAAUAUUAACAGAGGAGCCGACGAAAAGAGAAAAAUGAAACCGCAGGGUACUAAAUUGAUGCACUUUAAACGACAGGGUACUAGAGUGAGAAAGUGCGAAACCACAGGGUACUAAAUUGAUACACUUUAAACCACAAGAUACUAAAGUGAAAAAAUACGAAACCACAGAGGUGGUAUUUAAAGUUUUGCCUAUAAUAAAUCCACCCAUCCUCUCUCAAUGUCUCCAUGAAAAACUACUACACCAUAGACAAGAAGUAUAUGUUCAAAUAAUUAAUCUCUUCUUAAGCCAUGUAAUUAAGUGUUUCUAUCCUAAGACAUAAAUUAUUAUGUUUAGAUUCUCAGCUUAUUAUCUACUAAUUAACGCGUAAAUGAGAUUAUAAAUUAUUUGUAAUUGUACUUUAAUGUUCUCUAUCGAUUUAUCAAAAACGAGCUGAGGAUGAGGAAGGGGACGCGCAGAAAAGUAGAUUUUUUGCAAUUUAUUACCUUGUUAUAGUAAAUAACUUACAGAGAUUUUGUUUGUUGAGAAUCCGUAACCGGUUAUAAUAUAUACCAAUUACUGCAAAUUCGGUACUCACUUUAGUAUCAGUUGUUGGAAUUCUAUAAUAGAAACAUCUGAACAGAAUUUUACCAUAACCCGCCUCCUCAGCAAAUGCUGGUAUUCAUAAAAAAAAAAAAAUGUAAAAUAAAAUUUAUUAAGCAAGAGAAGAAUUACACUCUUUUUUUUUUUUUUUUUUUUGCACUGAGUAGUUUCAACCUGAAUUCUUUUUAUCGCGAGAAGGGGCCAAAAUAUACAUAAAUAGAAAUUUCGGCGGAUAAAUAUGAUUUUACCUAAUCAAUUUUUUUAUACAAAAAAUAUAUUGAUUAAACAAUUAAUAAUUUUAUUUUUUUUUUUAUUUACACUCGCUUAAUUUCUAAUUAUUUUAUUUAUAUUAUUCCAUUUAAAUAACUUAGGAAUUUUACUAAAUCUAAUAGUAAUUAAGUUCGUUAUCUAAUUUCCUAAUUUUUAGUAAAUGUAUAAAAAUUAUAACAACGGAUGACGAUCAGCUAAUUAAGCUAUUAAAUUUAACAUAAUAUUUUAUUUAAUUAAAUAAAAUAGUUCAUCCAAAAUAAUUAGAAAAGUUGAUGAAUUUAUUUCAAAAAUGCCCUCCAUAUUUGCACCCAUUUCUUUCAGAUUUUAGUGGGAAAAAAAAAUUAUAAUAAGACUAGUAGAGAAAUAUGUUCCAUAAGGAAGAAUUGCUCUAAAAUAAAUAAGAAGAAAGAUAAAGCAUUAUUUUUUAAAAUUAGUUAAAAAUUUAUUAGCUACCGAAGGACUGUUAAGUAAAUUUUGAAAAGUUAAGCGGCGCAACGGCCACCUUGGGACUAUUCAGAGCUCCGUACAGAUAAAACUUCAGUGGGAGCUUCCCCAAUGUCGCCUUAUCUAUGUGAAUCUCUCUUAUCCCUCUAUCAUCUUCUGUCAAGGAAAAAGCUUCAGUGGCUUGUCAGAGAGCUCCCGAUCUGCUGUCGCAUGUUUGUUGUGCCUCCGUAUACAAGUUCAUUAGGUGUUUUUCAAUAUUAAGACUAAAAAUAUUAAAUAAAUAGUAGAGAAAAGAUUAUAACUUUUGAAUAAAGGCAAAACUAAUACGUGACAGCAUAUCGGGAGCUCCUCGAGCUCCCCACUAAAGCUUUUUUCUCCCGUGCCAGCGCAGAAGAUCUCUCUCUCUCUUCCCACGCACGCAGCGCUCGUCCUCGCUCCCGCCGAAUCACCUUAGCAGUACAAAACCUCUAUAGGGCCUUCACAAAUUAGCCCUAGUACAUUUCUGUAGCAUCCGUACCAUUAAUUGCACAUAUAUAUAAUGCUACAUAAUAAUAAUAAUAAUAAUAAUCCUAGUAUACUUUGAACUACUACCUAAAUUUAAGACUAAAUUGCACGUUUAGUUCGAUCUCAAAUUAUGACAUAUGAGACAAUUUGGUUUUUAAAUUCUAAUUUACUGUACUUACAUUUUGGUCCACAAAUACUAUAUUAUUUUACAGUCUGUUGUACUAAUCAAAGAACGUAAUAUGUAUUCAAACAGUUGGAUAUUUCUAUUCCUUUUAGUGAAAAAACAUAAAGAAUAUAGAAAAAAAGGAAAAGAAGGAUAUUUACUUUCAGUACUCCCCGCCUUCUCGAACUGUCCCGCUAUCCACGCCUUCGCAUCUACUAUUCGUGUUACGUUCGAGCCCUCGCUGCUGUCAUCGACUGCAGCAGAGAUGUAAGCGGCAGAGGGAGAGGAGCGCAGCAGCGACGUGCGGACAGUGGAAGAAGAGGAGACAAAAAAAUAAAAAUAAAAAAAAAAAAAAAAAGGAAAGAGAAAGAGUAAAAAUAUUCUGACCAAUUUUUAAAAAUUUCGACCUCAAUUUGUAAAAUCGAAAAAUGUCGCUGGACUUUGGACCAAAAUCAAUUAAUUUUUUUAAGGCAAAAAAAAGUCAAUUUACAUUUUUUUCUUAAUUUUUUUUUCAAAAAAAAAUGGAGAAUUGAAAAAAAGAAAAAAAAAAAAAGGAGAAAUUUUGUUUUUUCUAUGCAGGAAUCAAACAGCCAUUCUUCAUUUAUUGCACUGUACUAGUGAAUUACCCGCGCGAUGCUACGGAUAUAAAAUUAUUUUUAUAAUAAAUUAUAUAUUUUUUAAUAUUUUUAUAUAGUUUUAUAAGUCUAAUUAUUAAUUAAAUAAAAAAUUAUAUAAAAAUAAUUAUGCGCAAAGUAAAUUUAUACAAUAAUUUAUUUUAUAAAAUUUAUAUGAAAAGAAUUUGAGAUAAAUCUAUCAAAAUAAUUUAAGAAAACCAAUAAAUAAAAAAAAAAUUGUAAAAAAAUUAUUUAAUAAAAUUAAUUAUAUAUAUACACAUAUGCACUAUAUUUCUAAAAUUUUAGUCCUACAAUUUAAAUUCUAUAUUUUUUUAUACAACGAUAUUUUAUGUAAUUUAAAUUGCAUUUAUUAGGUUAGAUUUUAUUACGCGUAUUAUUAGAAUUUAGAGAUUUAAAAUUUUAAAUUUUGGAAAGUUUAAAAUUUGAAAAUAAAUAUUAUAAUUUAAAAUAUGAAAUAUUAAAUUUAAAAUUUAAAACUUUAAAAUUUAAAAAUAUCAAAAUUUUAAAUUUUGUAUUAUAUAUAUAUAUAUGUGUAUGUGUGUGUGUGUUUGUGUCUGUGUGUGUGUAGAAAGAGAGAGAAUAGGAGGGUUGGGGGGACACGUGUCAAUCUAAGGUCCCCCCAAACCCUCCUUUAAUGUAGUUAAUAAAAUAGAUAUAUAGAUUGAACUCAUCCUCUGCUUUAUGUAUAUAUAUAAAUAAAUACAUAAAUAAAUAAAUAAAUAAAUAGAUAGGUAAAAGUGAAAGAAGAUUCCGCACCUAUAUUCUAAUUUUAGAUAGACCCCUCAACUUUUUUCUUCUGGUUUGAAUUUUAAACCUUAGUUAUGUUCAAAAAAAUAAUCAAAAUUUAAUGAUUUUAUUAGUUAUUAAUCAUUAGUUGCUCAAGUUUUAUUUGUUAAAAAAAUGAUUAAAGUUAUCGAAUUCGCUGAAGUCGCCAAUAAAUUUGAUAAAUUUUCUGAUUUUUUUUAACUAGGGUAUCAAUUAAAAAAAUAAAAAUUGAGGGGUCUCUUUUAAAGUAGCCUAUAGUUGAGGAGUCUUCAUGUAUUUUUACUUAAAUAAAUAAAUAAAUAUAGGAAGAGUCGAAAGGAAACUUACCAAUAAAUUGAGUCUCCAUAAUUUAAAAAGUAGUCAAAACAUACAGGAGACCCCUCAACUUCUAUUAUUUUUCACUGGGACCCUUUAACUUUUUUUUUUCUCUUUUUUUUGGAAUUAAGUGAUUUUAGGGGAUUUAUCAACUAAUUGAUGUUUCACCAAAUUUAAUAAUUUGAGUCACUUUUUAGCAAAUAAAAGCGGAACAAUUAGCAACUGUUUAAUUAAUAAAGUCAUUAAAUUUAAUAAAGUUUUAAUAUAACAAAGUGAAAAAACUCAUUAAAAAAAAUUAAAACCUAAAAAAGUCUCAACCAAAAAAAAAUAAAAAUAAAAAUACAAAUAAAAACUAAGGGAGCCUAUUUCAAAAUGGCCUAUAGUUGAGGGGUUCUCCAUACAUUUUUACGUAAAUAACCGGGCUUUUUUGGGCAUUUAGCCCUCUCAGAAAAAAAAAAAAAAAAAUCCACAAAUAACUCAAUAAAAUUUAUACUUGCAAGAUUGACUCUGUCCCGCCACGUAAACGCCACGUGAACGUGACAAUGUAGGUUAAGUUGAGCAUGGUACUGAAUCAUUCACCGUAUUUGGAUAUUGUGAAUGGUUCACCGUAUCCUUCCUAAACAUCAAACUCCAAAUAUUACUUAUACCGUGAUAGAAAAAUAACGGAAUACGGUGAAUCAUUCACUGUAUCCAAAUACAGUAAAUGAUUCAUCAUAUUCAACUUAACUUACACCCUAUCCACGCCCACGUGGUGCUCGCGUGGCGAGGAUAAGAUCAAUCUUGUAAAUAUAAAUUUUGUUGGAUAUUUUUUAACAAAAAAAAAUUUUUUGAAGGGGUUAAAUGCAAAAAAAAAUUAAAAAAAAAUAAAAAAAAAAAAACCUAAAUAAACAUAGGAAGCUUUAAAAGGAAACUUAGCAUUGAAUUGAGUCUCUAUAUUCAAAAGUAGUAGUCAAAAGAUAUCAAAAGGAGAUCUCUCUUUAAUUAGUGAUAUUUUAUUUUUAUUAUUAUUAUUGCUCUUGUUGUUGUUGUUGUCUCCAUUGUUGUUGUUAUUGUAGGAAAAAAAAAGCUGCUUUAUUAUGUUUUUCAUUUAUUAUUUUAUUAUGAGUUUCAUAUUAAAAUUGAAUUUUUAUUUAUUAAAUUUUAGAUAUCAUUCAAUAAAACAUAGAUAUAUAAAAAUUUAAACACGGAUGUAAAAUUUAUUAUAUUGUUGCUAAUUUUAUUUCAUAUUUAUAUGUGAAUAUAAAUCCCUUCGUGCUCAUAAAUUUUCGACUGUUGGAUGAAGUAAUAUACAGUUAAGAUGAUCGUAGUCGUCCCCUAUAGAGACUAGAGUUGAGUGGGUGGUUGGUUGAAUAAUAUGAUCUGACAGAUAAAAGCGAUCAAACUGAAAGAUCUAACGAUCGAAAACUUAUGAAUAUAAAGAGAUCUAUACUCAUAAGGGUAUAGUAGUCGGACUCAAUAUAUUAGCAUAUAUUACUAUACAAAUAAUAUUCGAAAUAUUUGAUCUAAUUUGAAUCGGGUUUUAGCGAAUAUCGUAACAAAAAUUUAGCAUCCAACGCAUAUCUGUAUUCGAAUUCAAGUCAGGAAAAAAAAAUACAGAUGAGAAUAUGAUUUCGUUAAAUAUUCAAUUGUGUUCGGUCGUUUUCACCCCUAAAUAUGCAUAUAUAAAUAGAAUUAGGCUGGAAUACUAUUAAUAGUAAAACGCUCUUGCUAUCAAGUUUUUAACCUUUGGAUGAAAAAUUGUAAGGUCGGGAUGAUAUUAGUUGGUUAGAGUUCAGUGGUUCCCCUAGGGUUGAGUGGUCCUUAUUGGGUUAUAGUAUUUAAUCCAAUGGUUAGAAAUAAUAAAAAGAGUUGAUCCAAAGGCUAAAAAACUGGUAGCAACAAUGGAAUUUUGCUACUAAUAGUAGCCCAGUCCAACUCUAUAUAAAUAUAAACUAUAAUUAGCACAACUAAUUAAGACAUAAUGCAACUAAAAAUCUAUACUUGUGUUCAAAAUUCAUAUGCUUAUAAUCUAUUCAACAAAAUUUAAGUAUCUAAAACUCAAAAAUAAAAUAAACAAAUAAUAUAGUAGAAAACCAGGUUAUCUCUGUAUAAUAUAUAUUAGCUUCCUCCUUUAUAUCAUAAGGGCGAAAACAAUCAAAUACAAUGAGAUUUUUUACGAAAUCAUAUUCAUAUUUUAUUUCAAAUGCGAAUUUAAAUGCGAAUAUAUAUAUAUCCGAUACUAAAUUUUAACAUUUCUAUGGAAUAAAUUCGGUGUCGAAUUCGAUCAGAGUUUUUUCUAAUCAUUUUCGAUUCUUAUCCUUUUGAAGCAUUUAUGUGUUAAAAAAAAGUGCUUCUCCCACCAACAACUCACCAUCAAUUUCCUUUUAUGGAAUUUAAAAAUGUGGGGCUAAAACUUUUGCUCAACUAAGCAAUUAUUAAUUACAAGGAUCCAGGACUAAGGAGAGAAAAUGUUAUUACUGUUUUGGGCAUGUGUAAUUAAGUUGCAUUUUGCAAGUACUCUAAAUAUUUUAUUUAUUUGCUUAUAAGUACUUGGUUUAUAAUUUUGUAUGUACGAAUAGAAAUGCACGUGCACGUUCAUUUUCCACACAAAAAAAUAAAUAAAUAAAUAACAUAAAAAAAUCAAAUUUUACUUGUAAAUUUUGAUACUUUUAAUUAUAAUCAUCUAAUUUAACAGAAAAGCAAUUGCACUUAAACAUGCAUUUGUAAAAUAAUAACAAUAAUAAUAAUAAUAAUAAUUAUAAUCUCCAAAAUACCCUCUAAAAUAUUGUAAAAUAUCUCUACCCUUUAACAAAUAAAUUAGAAUUAGAAAAAAUCGCAAAAUGCAUAAAACGCUUCUGUAAAAAAAAAAUUUAAGUUGAUGUAUUUAUUUUCCCUCCAUGCUCUUUCGCUAUAUUGAAAUUAUUUUUAAAAAUAACAGAAAUAUAUUAAAAUGUUAUGAUUUGAUUAAAUUUGUCGUUGAAUUCUAAUUGGAUUAGAAUUAAUAUUUAAAUACAUUGGAAAUAAAUUAAUUAAAAUUCAAAUACUAAUUAGAGUAAAGAUUUAAUUGGACUAGAAUUUAAAUAGCUUUUGAUAUAAAAUAUAAAUAUAAUAUAGAUGCUAUUAUUUUGGUGGUGGUGGUACAGUUUCGUCACACCAUAAUAAUAUAACUAAGAUGGUCAUGACUUUGGAUGUGCCUAGUGUAUUGGUAUAAGAGAACAUGUGCGGCUUUCGUGGCCAUGGAUCAGUGGUAUAUCUUGUGUAUAGGUUCACAAGAUGAGAGAGAAAGAAUUUUGGGUUUAUAGAAGAUGAAAGAAGGGUGAAAGAGAUUCAGAAAGAGGGCUCGGAUUGAAGCUACUCUGUGUAGAAAAAAUGUCAGGUGUAAUUCUUCUCUUGUUUAGUGAAUUUGAUUUCACCCAUAUUUUCUAUUUGGUUUUUUCUCUAUUUUGUAGUUAUACCAAUUUUUGCUAAGGAGAUAAAUUUAUGAUAAAAAUUUGAUAUGACGUUUCUAUUGCGAAAUCUCAACAAUCGAUACCGAAUUCAGUAUCAAGUCAGCAAUAGUCAAUAUCAGAGUGGAUUGUGAAUUCUCAAAAUCUAGUAUCACAGCGAAUAUCAGAUUUCCAACAGUAUUGUAUUCAAAAACAGUUGGUUGAUAUUCAGUUUACGGAAUUAAAAGUUGAGAAUGCGAUUCAUAAAAUCUAUUUCUAUCUAUUACAUUAAAGGAGGGUUGGGGAACCUUAGGUUGACACCUGUCCCCCAACCCUCCACUUCAUUCUCUCUCUCCACACACACACACAUACACACAUACAUAAAUAUAUAUAUAUAUAUAUAUAUAUAUAUAUAUAUAUAUAUAAUUUUAUUAAUAAAUUGCAUAACAGCUUAUUACUAAUUAACUUUUGAUAUGAAAAUUUAAAGUUUUGAUACUUUCAAAAUUUAAAAUUUAAAUUUUAAAUUUUAAUUUUCUAUUACAUUAAAGGAGGGUUGGGGAACCUUAGGUUGAGGCGUGUCCCCAACCCUCCACUUCAUUCUCUCUCACACACACACAUUAUUAUAUAUAUAUAAUUAAUUUUAUUAAUAAAUUAUAUAACAGCUUAUUAGUAAUUAAAUUUUGAUAUGAAAAUUUAAAAUUUUGAUACUUUCAAAUUUUAAAAAUUUAAAAUUUUAAAUUUUAAAUUCUAAAUUGUAAAUUUUAAAUUCUAAAUUUUAAUUUUAACUUAUAAUAUUAAUUUCAAUUUUAAAUUCUAAAUUAUAAUAAUUAAUUAAAUUAUAAUAUUAUUAAUUAAUUUUAUUAAUAAUACGCAUAAUAAAUCACGUAAUAAAAUCUAACCUGAUAGAUACAAUUUAAAUCACGUAAAAUAUCGUUGUAUAAAAAAAAUAUAGUAUUUAAAUUUUAGGAGUAAAAUUUUAGAAAUAUAGUGUAUUUCUGUGUAUAUAUAAUUAAUUCUAUUAAACAAUUUUAUUUACAAUUUUAUUUUCCUUCUAUUUAUUGAUUUUUUUAAAUCAUUCUGAUAGAUUUAUCUCAAAUCCUUUUCAUAUGUAUUUUUAUAAAAUAAAUUAUUAUAUAAAUUUACUUUGCCCAUAUAUCAAUUUUAAUGACUUUUAUUUAAAUAGAUUUAACUACUAAAUUAUUUUUAUAUAAUUUUUGUCUAAUUAAUAAUUAGACUUAUAAAACUAUAUAAAAAUAUUAAAAAAAUAAAAUUUAUUAUAAAAAUAAUUUUAUAUCCGCAGCAUCGCGCGGGUAAUUCACUAGUAUAUUUUUAAAACCCACCAAAUGAUUGUAAGACCAACUAAAAUCUUAUAAGGCAUUUUUUUCAUAUCUCACCUUGGUCCCAUUAAUAUGGGAGGUAAGAUUUUUGGCCAUUUUGCGGGAAAAUCCUAUAUUCUUUUUAUUUUUCAUUGGCUAAAUUAUAAUUUUGGUUGUCAAACUAGAGAGGUGUUAUAUUUUGGUCCUUAAAUUUUAAUUUAUUAUAAUUUAUGAUUCAAAUUUUUUAGAUUGCGGCAACCGAGUCGCACAAUUGGAUUACGCCGACCAAAUGGUUUCACGUUGCUAAUGUAACAGUAAUUGUGACCGACAGUGUGACAAAUACCACGUCCUUAUCACGUCAACAACACAUCAAUAACUAUUCAAUUAAAUCUGAAGAGCCAUCAAUUAACUUAAAUCAAAUAAAUUAAAAGGUUAGAUACUAAAAGUAAAAUUUUGAAAGAUUGAAUAAUUGAAUCAAAAUAAUUUAUAAUUCAGAUAAAUUUUACACAUUUUUAUCCUAAAAUUUUAAGCCAGAAACUGCAAUAAACUAAGAUAAGUACGAUUUACCCUACCUGAUUUAGCGCCACCCUAUACAUAAAAAAAAUAUUACUUUAUUACCCUCUCUUACGGCAAAUAUUUUUAGCAAAAUAAAAAAUAAAAUUACAGUAUAAUUAAGUGUAAUUUUUUGUACCUGAUUUUACUUUUUUAACCUUCGGGGUAAACUUAUGUUUAACUAAUGGAUUAAAAUUUGAGUACUAAAAUGUCAUUCUUGCAUAGUUGGAGGACUAAAACUGUAUUUCUCCUUAAAGGUCAAAAAAAAAAAAAAAAAGGUUUUUGGGGGCGGGGAACACACGGCUACUUUUCAUCGUCCAACGCCCGGCGCCUCUCCACCGUUGAUCACGGUGUCUUUUCUUUUUGUUGCAUAAAACCCCCCUACAUUAACAAAUAUUUGAAUAGCGUCCCUCGCAAUAAAUACCCCAACCAAUUCCACCUCACAAACUUGAUAUGGAUGGAAAGAAAAUAAGAGUAAAAAAACAAAAAGAGAGAGAGAGAGAGAGAGAGAGAGAGAGAGUUUUGAUUAAAAAAGAAAUGUAUUUUCUUUUGCUAUAAUAAACUAAAAUUUAAGUACCAAAGUGUCAUGCACUUCAUAAAUUAUCUCUUUUUUUUUUAAGAAAAAAAUAAUAUGUUAUUCGUUUCGUUUAUUUUCUCUCAGAAAUAAAUUUAGCUAAAUAUGUGAAAUAAUUAGGUUUUAAUUUGAAACCUCUAAUCAGAGCGUAUUUUGAGAAAAAUAAACUUCAGCGGGGAGUUCCUCAACGAGCUCUCAUUAAGGAGCCCUAAUUUAUCGUCUCGUGUCAUUUUUAUCUCUAUUCAAAAAUUAUAAUUUUUUCUUCUAGAGUUUAAUUUUUUAAAAAAAUAUAUAGUAUUGAAAAAUACUAAACCAAAUAUUAGAUAGAGUAAAAACUAGCGCAUGACAGCAAAUCGGAGGCUUCCCGACGAGACAGAAGUUUUAUCUUCAUUUGAGAAGUAAAAGGCGUAAUGUAGCUAGGAAAGUAGCCCCAAUCCGCCGUUGAACAAUUGGAUAAAAGCAAAUCUUACAAUAUGACAGCAAAUCGAGACUCCCAGUGAGUUAGGGAUCUCUCCACUGAAGUUUUAUUCUAAUUUUGAUGACCAAAAGAGAGCCCUAAUUCGUCACCGCGCAUAACUUUGGUAUUAAAUAUUUUUUAAAAAAAGUUUUAAUAUUAGAAAACACUCAAAGAAUUAUUAGAUAACUGUAAAACCAUCAUACGGCAAUAAAUCAGGACUUUCCAGUAAGGCGUUUUACUCUAAUUUGAGGACCAAAAUCUCGUUAAAGACUCCUAAUUCAUCGUCACACGUCACUUUUAUUUUUUUUCUUUUUAAGAAAAAACAAGCAAGGAACUAUUUGGAUAUAUGUAAAAGUUGGCAUAUAAUAUUCACUUUUAAUUUAAUUCCUUUUAAGAAAAAACAAACAAAGAAACUAUUUAGAAAGACGUAAGGUAAACUUCAAAUACCACUUAUGUGGUUUCGUACUUUCUCAUUUUAGUAUUCUGUCGUUUAAAGUGUCCUACGGUUCCAUUUUUAUCUUUUCUUUAGCUUGUUCGUUAAUAUUUCGUUAAAUUACAUACAAAAAAAACUUCAGAUACUCCAUUUACGUACGCUUAUCGAAUAUUUAUUUUAGUACUCUUUAGUUUUUAACUUUGCCACUGAUUUAACGAAAAAAUUAAUAAAAUUGAUAAUAAAAAGAUAAAAAUAAAACCACAUGACAGUAAAUCGAUACACUUGAAACCGCAAGAUACGAAAGUGAUAAAAUAAAGUGAUAAAGUGUGAAACCAUAAUAAUGAUAUUUGAAGUUUUUUCAAUAUGUAAAACUGAAGUAUAAUAGUAAAUCGAGGGCUCUUCAAUGGGACGUCGUUAAGUAAGAAGCUCCGGUAUACUUCUAUAUAUAAAUAAACCUCCCACAUAUAUUGUCCUCCCCCUAUAUUUGGGUCUCUCUCUCUAAUUCUCACUUCACCACAACACCCACCACGCCCUCUUCCUCCUCCUCCUCCGCUUUUGUCAUGAUGGAGAACAACGAUCCCUUCUUCUCCGCCAUUAACACCGCCGCCGCCGCCGCCGCCGCAUCGGCCGCAAACUACUUCCCAUGGCGCCGCCCACAAUUGUUGGGAUCCGCCGAUCUCGACGCGCCGCGCAAUCGGAGUGCGAGGAGGAAGAGGAAGAGGAAGAGCUCUCAUGGAGUGAGGAGGAGGAGGAGGAGCUCCGUAAAGGAGGAGGAGGAGGAGAACAACGAUAACGACGAUGAUGACGAUGAGGAGGAGGAGGACGAGGAGGACGAGAACCCUUUAUUGUCUCCUAACAAGGUUUGCUUUGGUCCAUUCAAAUUGUUUGGGGAUUUUUUCUUUUCUUUUUUUUACUUUUUUUUUUACUUUUUUUGGUAAAAAUUGUAUGCAGAGGCCCCUCAAUUAUAGGCAAUUUUGACCUAUGCCCUUUAACUUUUUAAUUUUUUCUGUUUUUUUUCCACUGGGAGGGGGAUUGAGAACCCUCGAGUUUCCUAAAUUAUAGGUUUGAUCCAUUCAAAUAGUUUGGGGAUUUUUUUUUAUUUUUUCUUUUUUUUUUUUACUGUUUCUUGGUAAAAAUUGCAUGGAGAGCCCCCUCAAGUAUAACUCUGUUGAACAUUGCCCCUUAACUUUUUUUAUUUUUUUAUUUUUAACUGGGAGGGGGGGUUGAGAACCCUCGACUUUCCUAAAUUAUAAGUUUGAUCCAUUCAAAUAGUUUGAGGAUUUUUUUCUUUUUCUUUUUUUUUUUUACUUUUAUUUUUUUACUUGUUUUUUGGUAAAUAUUGUAUGGAGAGCCCCCUCAAGUAUAUGCGCUUUUGAACUAGGCCCCUUCACGUUCUUUUCGUUUUUUUAAAAAUUAAGAACCCUCGACUUCUAAAUUAUAGGUUCGAUUUAUUCAAUAGUUUGGGGAUUUCUUUUUUGUUUUACAUUUUCUUGGUAAAAAUGUAUGGAGAGCCCCCUCAACUAUAGGACGUUUUGAACUUGAUCCCUAACUAUAGGAUGCUUUAAUCAGAAAAAAAAAAAAUUAAAGGUUUUAUUAAAUUUCUAUAAAAUUUAUUGGCGAUUUUUUUCAAAUUUGACGAGUUUAGUCACUUUUAGCAAACAAAAUUAGGUUAAUUAUAAUACCUAAUAAACAAUGGGAUCAUUAGAUUUGAUGAAACUUUUAACUCGACGAAGUAUAAACUCUCAAAUUUAAAAAAAAAAAAAUGGAAGUUCAUGGAUUUCAAUACACACGCACAAAAAAAAAAAAAUAAUUGAAGGGACUACUUUAGAAUUUCCUGUAAUUGAGGGGUAUCCAUACAUUUUUUCAUAUAUAAUAUAUAUAUACAUAUUUUGGGACUAUGGGAUAUUUUGAAAGAGCCCCUAUCCGUUGAAAUUUCUCUUUUUGGAAUUGUGUUAUUCUAGUUAAAUAAAUUAAAUUUUUUAUCAAAUUUAUUAAAUGGUUUGAUUAUACUUAAUGACUUUAAUUAUUUCUUAAGCGAGUAAUGUUGGACCGAUUAAGAAUUAGUGACUAAUUAGAAUAAUUAAAUUUAAUAAUAAUUUUGAUUUAGAACCAAUAAAAUUUGAGAUAGUUAGGGGUCCAUUUCAAAACGGCGUAUAGCUGAGGGGUCUUCAUACAUUUUUACCAUUUUUCUCGGUAAAAAUUUUAGAGGGACUCAGGCGCAAUUAUUUCCUAUUUUUAUCGAUACUAUUUUAACUUUAAAAUUUUUAUUAAGUACUUUUUUCAAUUAAAUUAGAGAUUUUUGUUAAUGCAUAAUCCUUUCGAGAUUUCGUACAAACCAAAAAACCUUUUUUUUUUUAAGUUUUUCUUUCUUAAAAAAAAAAAAAAAACUUCAAAUACUAUUAUGUAGUUUCGCAUUUUCUCACUUUAGUAUCUUAUAAUUUAAAGUAUAUCACUUACAUAUCCCGUGGUUUUAUUUUUUUCUUUUUAGUAUUUGUUUUUAUUAAAUCAGUGACAAAUUUAAAACUAAAAAGGUACUAAAAUAAAUAUUCGAUAUACUAUAGGUGGGAUAUCUGAAGUUUUUUUGUAUAUGAUUUAACGAAGAGUUAACGAAGGGGCUGACGAAAAGAGAAAAAUAAAACCACAUGGUACUAAAUUAAUACACUUUAAAUCACAUGGUACUAAACUUAGAAAGUGCGAAACCAGAGGGAUGGGAUGGUAUUUAAAGUUCACCCAAAAAAAAUAAAUCAAGGGGCCGAGUUCAAACUUCCCAAUAGUUGAGGGGCUUCUUGUAAAUUUUCACCUUUUUUUAUUAACAAAAAAAAUUUUCAUCAAAUUUGUUCUAUUUAUUUAUGAACUCCCCCUAAAAUAGUUUGUGAAAUUGUGAAUUCCAGUUGACAGAUCAAGAUUCAAAUCCCAAAAGAUGCAGAGCUGAUCAAUCCGAAAGAACUGCGACAAUCAAUCCGAAAACCGCCGAAAUCGGCGCCAACAGAGAUUCAAAUGAGAAAGAGAACAGCAGCUCAAAGCAGGAUUACAUCCAUGUCAGAGCCAGAAGAGGCCAGGCCACUGACAGCCACAGCCUCGCGGAACGAGUACGACAAAUCUUCAGAUCAGAUCACAAUUUCUCUCGAACAAUCUCGAAUCGGAAUUUUUAAGUUCUUCAGUAAUUUCUCAUUUUCGCUGUCGAAACACCUGCAGGUCAGAAGAGAGAAGAUCAGCGAGCGAAUGAAGCUGCUCCAGAACCUCGUCCCCGGAUGCAACAAGGUAUGGAUGAGAGUAUAAGUGUGUAGUUGUUAUCCAUCUCAAGAUGCCGAGAACUUUGUGGUGCAGGUCAUGGGCAAAGCGCUGAUGCUCGACGAGAUCAUAAACUACGUGCAGUCGCUGCAGCGCCAGGUCGAGGUACGCGCGCAGUUAUCUUUCAGCUGAAAGAACCAUCAUGGUUGAAGUUUCUCGUCCUGAAUCAAAGUUUUCUACAGCUCUUGUCGAUGAAGUUGGCCGCCGUGAAUCCGCUCGACUUCUGCGUAAACAGCCUCCUCCGCCCGAAAGACGUAUGUUUCGAUCUCGUGCGACCGUUCGCGUUCUCGCUCGGUGUUGAACUUUGUGUGAAUUUUUUUUCCAGAUGAAUAAUCGAGCGCAGCAGCAGCAAGCGCCUGAUUUACCGGCGGCGCAGAUUUAUCAUCGGUCGGAGAAUUCAAGCGCGGGUUCUUCGUAUUCUCAGCGGAUUAAUGGGACUCCUCUCGAGAGUUUCGAAAACAAAUUCGUGUUCGAUGAAUUAGACCCCUCCUUUUGCAGCAGCAUCAGCAUGGAAUUUCCUACCCUUAAUGGCUUUGCCGAUGCUACUCAGGUUUAAAAAAAAAAAAAGAAAAAUUUGUGUUCUUGAUCUUUUUGGUAGUAGUAAUGGUUUCAAAGAGUAGAGAUUGAGAAGAGGCAUUUGUGUUUUUCUUUAGCUUGGGAAUUUCUGGGAGGAUGAUCUUCAGAGUGUUGUUCAGAUGGGCUUCUUCGGGCAGAGUCGAGACGCGCAAGCGAAUCUCCUCGCAGAGCUUCUGCGGUACAAAUUCGUUUUGAAAUCGGAUCGAAUUUGAGUUAAUAGAUUGCGAAUACGAAAUUUCGAAGUGUUUUAAGAGUUAUCUGAAACUUUUGUGUGCUUUACUGCAGGCCCUGCGACGACCGACAGCAGGAAGAUUGAGCUCUGAUCAUUCUGAAUUCUCGGUUCCAGUCGACGGUGUAUAUAUAUAUCGAGUCGUUUGUUCGAAAGCAGCGCAUAACGCAUCCCGACUAACAGCGUGUGCAGCGAUUGUUACAUCGACAUGGAACGAAAAUGCAGCAUGAUUCUCGCAACAUCGAGAGGAUUUUUUUUUUUUUUUUAUGCUAUCUUUGGUGUUCUGAUGUAUUAUUAUUGUGACAUUAUUCAUCAUUAAUUCACGAAUAUAUAUAUAUAUAUAUAUAUAUAUAUAUAUAUAUAUAUAUAUUAGGGCAUUAUUCGAAUCUUUAAGCAGCACGAACAGUAGAUUAGACCAUUUCGCAACAUAAGUGGUGCUUAUUCGAUGGAAAAUGGAAUAAUUCUGUAUGAAGAACUCCUGAAAUGCUAUCCCUUUAUCUUUUCUUAAAAAUUUACUCGAACUCAGUACCUCAUGCUCUGAUACUAUGUUAAAUUACGUGAAACAACCGUUAAUCUCCGACAGCUUAAAAUAUCAGAGAACGAUGUUUUUGAUAAUUACAAAGAACAAUACACUAGCAACAUGUGGAACAAACCCCCAAACAUACUUAUAAAUUCUCAUGUUAUGAUGCUAUAUUAAAUUAUGUGAAACAGCCGUUAAUCUCCAACAUCUUGAACUAUUAGAGAAUGAUGUUAUUGAUAAUUAUUUUCAACAUCUCCAAUAUAACACUGAGAAUAAUAAGUUAGCACAAUAUGUGGAAUAAACCAUCAAGCAAACUUAUUAAUCCUCAAUGCGCUGAUACUAUAUUAAACCAUGUGAAACCACCGUUAAUUUCGAACAUUUUGAGCUAUCAUAGAACGGUGUUUAAUUUUGAUAAUUAUUUUCAACAUCUUCAAAGUAACACUGAGAAUAAUAAGCUAGCAACAUGUGGAAUAAACCGCCAAACUAACUUAUUUUCUAAAUUCUCCUAUAACAAGAACAAGAAUAUAUAUAAGAGCUGUUACAUAAGAGGAGAAUAGUAUCAAAUGUGGAUAAAGUUGGGACCUUUAAUUCCUCAGUUUCUCUAAUUCUCCAAGAACCAGAACAAGAACAAGAAUAUAUAUAAGAGCUGUUACAUAAGAGGAGAAUAGUAUCAAAUGUGGAUAAAGUUGGGAACUUUAAUUUCUCAAUUUCCUACCCCCCCUAAAGUUGUAUUAGAGUUCAUAGAAAGGGAGUAGAGGGGGGACAAAGAAGAAAAGAAAUUGCAUUCCAGAGUGGAUAGAUUCUCCUUUGGGACUAAUUAAGAAUAUCUUAUUUAAAGAUUACUGUAAAAACACCUACUCUUAUUAUCUUAUAAACUCUUCUUUGUCCAUUACUUUCUUAAUAAACUGCAGGGAAAAUUAAUGUAACAAAGACCCUCUAAACUUUAGCACUUUUACUAAUAGGCGUCUGAACUUUUAAUUUUGGUAAUUACAGCAUCAAAACUUUAUUAAAUAAUUCAAAUUAAACCCUUAAAUAGACCUCUUUUCUCAACUGAAAUUACAAAUUUUACAACUAUUUCGGUCGCUUGUAUUGCAAAUAAUCUUGUAAAUUUUAAAGCAACAAAAAUCUGCUUCUCCUAUUACGACACAUAUUAAAAAAGAAUAAAGAUUAAAGAUAUAUUCACUGUGUUGUUCAAUCGUGAUGCUUAAUUAUCAUAACUAGAAGAGAAAAAAAAUAGAUUUUGUUUUUAAACUUUUAAGUUAUACAAAAUAUCACGGCCCGGAUUACCACGUUUCCUCGGACACGUCAACAGACCUGCCGUAUAUACAGAAAUUUUCCGUGUAUACGAAACGAUAGCUGUGCCUGCAACGGAAUAUAGUUACAACUAGAGUACAGAGCUGCUAAAACUGAAACAUGUGUCCGACCACUAACCCUAGAGACAUUACACAAAAUAAUAUGUGAAAAUAUGCGAAAAUAGUCUAUUAAAUUAAUCGAUAAAGUUUAACAGGUCUAGAGCUAAAGUUAAUGAGUUCUUUGUGUAAACUAUGUGAUAGCUUUACUGGUUAAAAUGCACCAAAUCCAAUGGUACCAAUCAAUGUUAAGUAGUUAAAAAAUAAAAACAAAAAAAAAAAAAAAAAAUCCCACUCUCAUAAGAAAUUGGGAUUACAGAGUGGAUAGAUUCCUUCAACCAUUGAAUUGCUCUAAAAGAAAACAUAAAAAAAUCCAACUCUAUAAUGUUAUUGACUCUUCUUUGUCCAUUACUUUCUUAAUAAAGUACAUUGUGGAGCUUUACUAGUUAAGAGUGUACCAAAUUCAACAUGCUUUUUGAUUGUUUUAAAAGUGUAUCCAUCCAUGAAAAGGUGAAGGCAAAUGGAUGGUUGCAUGUCAUUGUCUAUUGCUUGCUCUAGCUUGUUUAGUACAUAUGACUCAUUGCAUGCUCUUUACUAUUACUAUUGAUUGAGACACCACUUGAACUAAUCAUUGUUGGGUUGGUGUCUUUUUACUACUAACUCUUUUCCUUUUCCUUUUUUUGACUUUGUUGAGGAUUUAAGACCACUUUAGUGUUAAAUGUUGGCUAUAUUUUAUUGGCUAAAAUAAGUUUAACUUUCUGUCCCAUGAGAAUAGAUUCAGAAGACUAAUGAGUUGAGUUGGGUUGAGCCCAAUAAGUUGAACGAGAUUGCGGUCCAUAAUGAACCUAACGGCAAGAGACCCAAUAAUAGACGUAACGUCCAAGUGGGUUGAGGCAAAUUGAAGUCCGUGAAGCGCUGUGGCUAUGCUCUUAAUGCGAUGGGUGCGCACUUUCUAUCCGCACGUAUUUUUGGGACAGUUGGUUAGCGCUUAUGAUCCACACAAAAUCACAAAUUUAACCUUCUGUGGGUACUUGUAUGAUAGUAUGAUAGUUACUCUUGAAUUUGAGGGUCAGUUGGCCCAGCAAUAAAUUUCAAUUUAAAAAAGCAUCAAAUUAUAGUUAGUAAAACAGUAAAUAGACGAUGGCGGAUCAUAAAAAUGUUGCCCUAAAUAGAACAAUUUCAUAAUAAUAGGCUACAACACACCGAAUAAGCCAGACCAAACCAAUCCACAUGAUUUUUUAAGAUUUUGCCCGUUAUAGUUUUUCGAAUAAAUCUAUUUGCAAUGUUGAGGCCAUGCGUUUUACAUACGAUAUCCCCGAGAUGUUUUCUUCUUCUUUCUUUUUUUUUUUGGCUUUUCAAAAUAGCUCUACUUGAAAAACACUUUUACUAGUUCCGACCAAAGCCAAAUAGAUAAAACAUUACUUUCCAAUAGAGAAGCAUCAUUUACUUUGGCAUAGUUGGAAGAGCACAAGCUGUAAAGUACCAUAAGAUUCACUCAGAACCAUUCUUAGUGGACAUCUUCUUCAUAGCUUUCUAAUUGUUAAGCACAAAAACAACUAGAAACUCAGUUUUUACUCCUCUUUUUUGCCAGUCUUAUUUUAGGUUGACAGAGUAACAAAACAUCAUGUGUUUUGUUCCUGCCACUAACUUUUGUACCUGUGAUAAAUUUUUUUCUUACUAUUCUCACAAAUUGAGCUAAGGAUGUGUUAUUGUUGUUCAACUAAGUUUUUGGUCUACAUACAUAACUUUUUGCAUAGAAUCAUUAUAUAUAUAUAUAUAUAUAUAGAGAGAGAGAGAGAGAGAGAGAGAGAGAGAGAGAGAGAGAGAGAAUUAUGCUACUAUCGAUAGUACCAAGCGCUUGAUACUAUCAAGUCUUAGAUCGUUGGAUGAAAGAAUGUAUAGUUAGGAUAACAGUGGUAUCCUAGGGUUGAGUGGGUGGUUGGUUGAACAGCAUAAUCUAACGGGUGGAAAUAAUUAAAGGGUAGAUCUAACGGCAAAAAACUCGAUAAUAUUAAGAGCUUGGUACUAUCAAUAGUAUAGUAGCCGGACUAUAUAUAUAUAUAUAUAUAUAUCCUAAUUUAUUCUAAAGUUGGACUAUAUUUUAGACUCCACUUUUAGGAGCAAAUAUAUAUUAUGUUAAAAGGCUCGAAUCAAUUCAAAAUCAUAAACUGAUAGGCUGAAAAAUACCUUAACCACUUAUGUAUGAGCCACAAUUCUAAUUUUUAACCUGUACAGAACUAGUAUUCUUAAGAAUCAGCAUUACAAACAAAACCUUUUGUCUGAAACUAGCAUAUGCCAGAUCUAACACAUUAUGAUUCAAACUUUGAAAUUAUUUACAAUAAGUUUUCGUUUAAGUGAACAAAAGAUGCAAAUUAGAACUCAAUCUCCAAUGCAAUGCAGUAAAUAUUAAAUCAAAAAAACUUAGAUAUAUAAGCUCCCUUUUUUGUUUUAUCUUGUUUUUUUUUGGAAUUUUCAAAUAGAAAUUGGACAAAAACUACCCGGUUUAGUAAAUUUUAAAAUUCGAACCAGAAAAAGUUUUUCUAGCAUGAAGGUAAAGUGUUUAUAGACUAUACCUGACUGUUUUUCGCGCCGAACCAGAGUAUAAUAUUAUGAACCAAUACUAGUAGGCCCAACGAGUUACCAAUACUAGUGGGCUACAAGAACCAUUCUCCAUCUUUUCUAAAUUUACACAAUACUUGAUUUCGGUCGACAUAUCGAAUUUAUCGCGAAACGCCAAACUUGUGACUGUGCUUCUAACCCUAAUAGAUGCUGCAGAGAGUGGUCAACAACAACUGCACUCACUGUGGAAUGAAAAGGACCACCACAACACAUUUGGUGUGUGUGGUCUCACCCAAAAUGAUAGAUGGACUCAAAUGCAUCAAACACACCCCUCUUUGUUGGGAGAACAUCCAAAAGGAGUGUGAGUUGGUGACAUGUCUUAUUCAUUGCAGAAGGCAUGUUGUUUGUUAUUCAAUGAUAUCCAAAGCAUAGAGCUGGCAACCUGCAUCCUUACAAGAAGGUUCCGCAUAUCUCCGAGUUCUGCGGCACGAUCCAAACAACACCUUAGAGGGUAUUUGGAUUGACGAAUCUCUAGAUCCAAUGUAACUCAAGGACAGUAGUGUUUGGAGUUUUUCUGAAGUGUGAUUAUCUUUUUGUUGUUUAUUUUGAUAUAAUUCGUAUAGUCUGAAAAUUAAAUUCAAUCACUUCUUUUAUUUGUUUUGCUAUAACUUAUGCUAGUAAAAUUAGUUUUUUAGUUUCAUUAUUUAUUUUAAUGUAAGUAAGUGGAUUCUGUUACCUCCAAAAUAUAGUGAUAAACUUACCCCUAUAUAAUCCAACUUAUUAAAUAAUUAAAUUAC